CGGGCCAACAGAAGGCCUGCGAUGAUCAUUUGUGAUGGCUCCAUCGUGUUAAUGCGGUCCAUUGCAAUAACCUUCUGCAGAGCAAGUCUUGAAGAUCUCUUGCAGAAGUAUUUCGUGCUUCUCACAGGACAGCACCCAAACACCAAAUUUGACCUCCCGAUUCUGCACAGAUGUCUCGGUCACAUUAUGAAGAACGCAAAGGAUCUGUGCAAAAAGCAAAUACCAAAACACUACACGCUGUGGAUGCAUACAUUUGGACUCCUUGCGUGUGGCUCCAGUCUAAAAGAGAUGGACGAUGUCCUGGAAAGUGCAACUGUAGUUUUUUGAAGUCCUUGCAGUGGGGAAAAUGUUGAGAAGCACUACAAAAAUCUGCAAAUGCUUUUCAAACAGAAGGGGGCCUGCGAUGUAGUAAAGGACAAAAACAUAAUUGCUGAAGACUACAAGUGUUCUGUUGGAACCAGCCCUCUCCAGACCCAUUUCAAGG
Long non-coding RNA from Notolabrus celidotus (New Zealand spotty), 484 nucleotides. RefSeq lists it as uncharacterized. The record is from RefSeq and is a predicted model, not a curated record. The transcript is spliced from 3 exons. NCBI's taxonomy places the organism in Eukaryota, Metazoa, Chordata, Actinopteri, Labriformes, Labridae.